UCGUGCCCAGAGGACUCAGAGAUGAGCUCCAAAGAUUGGUGUAGGAACUGCCACAAUCCUGACUCUCUGGGCACAGGCUUCAGAAUAUAAACCAGGGCGAAGUGGGGCCGGUACAACCUCUUGGGGUCGUUACUUAGGACCUAUGCAACCCAGAGUGCGAGGCCUACUGGCACGGAACUGCAAGAGCCAGCGGGAGGUACCACGCGCAUGGCCGGAGCCCCGGACCUCGGGAGCGGUGGCCUCGAAUGGACCGCGCCCCCUGCCGGCUCGGCGCCUGACCUGAGCGCGACCCCAGACUCCCGCGGAGUCGCGGGGGCAGGACACCCAGCAGAGACUAGAGGAGUGGGGCUCGCCAACACCCCCAGAGAGGCUGAGACUCCAAGGUUCUCGGACGGGCUCGUAAGAUUUCGCAAUAGGGGCACGGCUCGAAAAGACUGAUUUGAGAAUUGGGAUUUGGAGGGGAGAAUGAUCUGAAGUUUCAGAAUUUAAUUGCCUAUUUGGAAAUAUGGGAAUAACCAAAAUUAGAACGGACGAUACCGUUUCGUUUUUCCCCCACCCCCCGUAAUCCAGUUAUUCCUUACAAGGUUACAACCUGAGAGUUUGCUUUGCUGCCCUCUGAGACUUCAUUCACCCAUUUAUGAACGGGAGGAUUUACUGCCAGGGAGCACACUAAUGUUUCACGUAUGUUAAUCGCUUUAGAGUUUACAAAACACAGCCACAUCCUGAUCUUUGAUCCUGACACCUACCCUUGAGUUAGGCGAGGAAGGUUAACAAUACUGUUCUUAUCUCACCAAGUAGAAAAUGAAGUUCAGAGACGGGAAGAAUUUGACCAAAGUCACGCCAAACGCAGGAAGCAGUAAAGUCCUAACUCGGCCUGGCAAGCAAGCACCGCAGACUCGGGCGCGGCGUGGAUAUUUCUAGGCUGGGGUCAUCAUGCAGUCAAGGGGGAAAGGAGAGUCCUAGCCCUCGCCCAAGGAUUUAUGCCUGUUCAUGAUGAAUCACCCCCAAGCACGUUUGUCACCCAUUUGUGUUCUUCCAUCACCGCUUUUUUUUUUUUUAACGAUUUUAUUUAUUUAUUUGCCAGAGAGAGAGCGCACAAACCGGGGGAGCGGCAGGUUUCCCGCUGAGCAAGGAAGCCUGACGUGGAACUCGAUCCCUCAUGACCUGAGCUGAAGGCAGAUGCUUAACCGACUGAGCUACCCAGGCGGCCCUCCAUCACCCCUUCUUGACUUUACUUUCUUCUUACUUCCCUUCUGAGGGCCAAGCUGGAAGGGAACUCGGCCCCGCGAAGCUUGAGUUCUUGCAUUCGGGCCUCUGGUAUCCUAUCAACCCCUACCCUAUUCUCAAGUCCUGCAGCUCUGCGCCUAGACUAAGAGGCGGUGGGCGCGGGGCCACUGGACUCGGCGGACCGGCUUCUAGUACCCACCCUGUGGCUGUGUGAAGGACUGAACCGUGGACACUGCACCCGGGGAAGGAAUGACCGCGGCUGAAGUUAUUCAUUCUGGGGACUCUUCCCCAAGGGAGUCACUUGAAUGGAUCUGAGUUCCAGCUGAGGAUAGGGGACAGAUUCCUGGCUCCGGAGCUGGGUCUGAUUCUGUUUGUUCCCUGAGAGUCAGGCUCUUCACACCAACCCUGUCCAAGACAUUCUCUGCGGAUGCGACUUGUCGCCAGCUUCCAGUUGGGUCCGCUCCAAGACAGGUUUUACUUUCAUUUCCCUGGCGCGCGCGCCUCAACUGCUGUAGAGGUCAAGGACAGCUGAGCGCCGGCCCACAGCCAGGGAAGGUCCCGUGGUCUGGACUCGUUCCUUCCAGUUCCCACCAGCCCUGGGCGGGGGGGUUCGGUCUGCAGAGGUCUCUGUGGCUGUGCCUCGUUGCCUCCUUUCUGUGUCUUUUUGGAAAACCCAUGAUUCCGUGGGAGCGGGGUGGGGGGGGGGAAUUCGCUCUAGCUCCUCUGCAGGAUCGCGAAGCGUGAUCUAGAUGCAAACUUCGCUUUGAGCUUGGGGCUGCUUCAACAAGCACAGCAAACCCAGGAGUGGAGACUGGGCUCCGCUCCUCCUGGCUCCAGUGCCUAGUCCAACGACAUAGCAGCGACGCCAGGAAUUCCCACCUGACAGCCUUGGCACACUUCUUAUCAGCUCAGAGACCAUUUGAAGAGGCCCCAACCCUGCCCGUGGACAUUUGGUUAAGUCUAACUCUCAGACUGCCUCUCUGAACUGUGGUGGCUAACCACAGGAAGCACUUGAAAUGACUGUAGAGAUCAACCACUCACUCCACAACAGCCGACUGUAGGAGCAGAGGACUGAUAAUUCUUGCUCGCUAGUAAUUGGCCCUUGUUUCUUCUAAAGCAUGAAUGAAAGGCAUCUGCUGUGUACACAUCAUCAUUGUGUUGCAUAUUCUUCUUCCCUUCCUGCUCCUGCCAGACAUCAGUAAAACAAAUCUGGGAUUGCUUUACUCCCUCACUCUUUGGUGAAAGGUGAUGGUGGUUAUCUCAAGGGGAUGGUCUGGCCUUCAGCCAACUUCAGUAAUCAGCUGCCUUGUCAGGGCUUAUCAGUUUCAGCAGACUGGCAACUGUUGGCUGAGAAGCAAAGCACAGCUCCAGUGUAUGCUAAAUAUGUUCACAUGUGUAUAUAAACAUAUGGUACCUUUAUACAUAUAGCUGGGAUAUGUCAAAAUCCCUAUGCCACAGAACACACAUUUGAAAUGGAAUGGCAGCCCACCUAUGACCCAGCAGAUGGAAUAUGCCUUAGAGCACACAGCAUUUAAUUCUAGACCUUGAAAACAACUAAGCUUCAAUUUAAAAAAAGUUUAAAUAAUUUGCACCAACACUUGUUAAUAAAAUAAAGCUCAACACAUUUAAAAAGUAAAAUGGGACUCUUGUCAUGUACAAAAACCUAAAAUGGCCUAAACACAAGAGCUAAAACUAUGAAACUCCUAGAAGAAAACAGGAGCAAAUUUUUCUGACCUUGGAUUUGGCAAUGAAAUUAGAUAUGACACCAAAAGCACAGAAAACAAAAGAAAAAAUAGAUACACUGUAUUUCAUAUGGGUAUAUACGUAAAAUGGAAUGCUAUUCAGCUAUAAAAAGAAUGAACUACU
Zalophus californianus (California sea lion) is the source of this 3093-nucleotide long non-coding RNA. RefSeq lists it as uncharacterized. The transcript has 4 exons. The record is from RefSeq and is a predicted model, not a curated record. Lineage: Eukaryota; Metazoa; Chordata; Mammalia; Carnivora; Otariidae.